GAUGAACGCUAGCGGCAGGCUUAAUACAUGCAAGUCAAGGGGGUAGCAAUACAACCGGCGCACGGGUGAGUAACGCGUACACAACAUACCAUAUACUGGAGUAUAGCUUUGGGAAACUGAAGGUAAUCCUCCAUAACAUUGCGAGAGGGCAUCUGAUUGCAAUUAAAGUUUCGGCGGUAUAUGAUUGGUGUGCGUUUGAUUAGCUAGUUGGUAGGGUAACGGCUACCAAGGCGACGAUCAAUAGCUGGCGUGAGAGCGCGACCAGCCACACUGGAACUGAGACACGGUCCAGACUCCUACGGGAGGCAGCAGUAGGGAAUAUUGGACAAUGGAGGAAACUCUGAUCCAGCCAUGCCGCGUGAUAGAUGAAGGCCCUCUGGGUUGUAAAUAUCUUUUUAUCUUGGGAAGAAACACUCCUAUUCUUAGGAACUUGACGGUACCAGAGGAAUAAGCACCGGCUAACUCCGUGCCAGCAGCCGCGGUAAAGU
RNAcentral lists this ribosomal RNA (488 nucleotides) under uncultured bacterium. RNAcentral's name for it is "bacterial SSU rRNA". It matches the Rfam family "Bacterial small subunit ribosomal RNA", at positions 28 to 526 of the family's 1533-position model. The record is from RNAcentral.